AACAGGAGGAGAACCUCGUCCUAACAUGAGCAAAGUUGAAGGUCCGAUUUUUUAAAGAUCGGAUGGAGAGAGAGGCCCUUGCAACGGCCCUUAUGUGCCCCCACAGCCUUGUUAGGAACAGGAGGAGAACCUCAUCCUAACUUGUGCAAAGUCGAAGGCCCGAUUAUUUAGAGACCGAAUGGGGGGAGAGGCCCUUGCAACGGCCCUUACGUGCCCCCACAGCUCUGUUAGAAGUAGGGGGAGAACCUCGUCCUAACAUGAGCUGAAAUCGGUUGCGUCGGGAACAGAAGGAAAACCUCACCCUGACAUAAACGACGACCCGAUCGUUCGAGACUGGAUAAGGAGGAAAACCUCCUCAACAACUCCUCUACACUCCUACAACUCCGUUAGGAGCAGAGAGAAAAUGCUCACUCGAACACAAGAAAGGGUGAAGAGGAAAAGGAAAACGACGAACUACACCAGUGAUAGGUGGAAAACAGACCACAUCGAAGACACAAGAAACCUUGUCUCAACGAGGAAAGAGGUUCUUAUCAAAAAUCCUCAGUCUCUAAGAAGGGACUCAGCACAGGCCAAGGAAAAAUCGACUUCCUCAAGGUAACGAGAAGUUCGGACCUCCAAGCUCGAGCAUCGGGAGGAAGCGUCAAACUCAAAUGGCCUCGAAAGGACCUACGAUCAUAAGCAAAAAGGGCAAACCAACACAGCGACGAUCAGGAACCUUCAGACAACGUCGAUAUCGAACAAGACGGAAAACAAAAGAAGUUCGGUAAACGACGACUCAAAGCAAGAACCGACGAGGAAUUACAAACUACGUCGACACCAAACAAGACAGUAGGCAAAAGAAGUUCGGUAAACAACCAUUUAAUACCAGAACGGACAAGGUAAUAGACAAUUUCAUUUUUAUUUCAUCGGUGAAGUACACAUUACAAAGCCUUAAAGGCCAGAAGCAAAAAGAUAAAAAAAAAAGAGAGGCUCUAAGGAAGCCCAGUUUCUUCCGACUUCGAGCUCUCGGUCCCGGUCCUUACUAUGGAUUGCCUUAAGUUUUCAACUUCUUCCUCUAGUUCCAUCUUUCUCAGCAGCAUAUCCCAGUACAUCUGGUGGAACCGUCGGCUCUCGCCCUCCGACUCUCGAAGCCUCCUCAGGACCUCGGACUCCACCUCGACAUCUUUGACCGUCUGCUGCUCGUGGAUCAAUUGAAUCUUCAGCCGCUGCAGUUCGGCCUCCUCCCACCCAAGGGCCACAGACAGUUCUACCAUGGUCCCCCUU
Molecule: long non-coding RNA, 1263 nt
Filed under: Elaeis guineensis (African oil palm)
Lineage: Eukaryota; Viridiplantae; Streptophyta; Magnoliopsida; Arecales; Arecaceae
Description: long non-coding RNA (EGUI_LNC077913)
Source: RNAcentral